GACGAACGCUGGCGGCGUGCCUAAUACAUGCAAGUGGAACGCAUGAUUGAUACCGGAGCUUGCUCCACCAUUAAUCAUGAGUCGCGAACGGGUGAGUAACGCGUAGGUAACCUACCUCAUAGCGGGGGAUAACUAUUGGAAACGAUAGCUAAUACCGCAUAACAGUAUUUAUCGCAUGGUAAAUGCUUGAAAGGAGCAAAUGCUUCACUAUGAGAUGGACCUGCGUUGUAUUAGCUAGUUGGUGGGGUAACGGCUCACCAAGGCAUCGAUACAUAGCCGACCUGAGAGGGUGAUCGGCCACACUGGGACUGAGACACGGCCCAGACUCCUACGGGAGGCAGCAGUAGGGAAUCUUCGGCAAUGGGGGGAACCCUGACCGAGCAACGCCGCGUGAGUGAAGAAGGUUUUCGGAUCGUAAAGCUCUGUUGUAAGAGAAGAACGUGUGUGAGGGUGGAAAAUUCACACAGUGACGGUAACUUACCAGAAAGGGACGGCUAACUACGUGCCAGCAGCCGCGGUAAUACGUAGGUCCCGAGCGUUGUCCGGAUUUAUUGGGCGUAAAGCGAGCGCAGGCGGUUUGAUAAGUCUGAAGUAAAAGGCUGUGGCUUAACCAUAGUAUGCUUUGGAAACUGUCAAACUUGAGUGCAGAAGGGGAGAGUGGAAUUC
RNAcentral lists this ribosomal RNA (666 nucleotides) under uncultured Bacillota bacterium. Its description in RNAcentral is "bacterial SSU rRNA". It matches the Rfam family "Bacterial small subunit ribosomal RNA", at positions 28 to 669 of the family's 1533-position model. Lineage: Bacteria; Bacillati; Bacillota. The record is from RNAcentral.